This 243-nucleotide long non-coding RNA is filed under the name Salvia miltiorrhiza (redroot sage). Its description in RNAcentral is "long non-coding RNA (SMIL_LNC008795)". The record is from RNAcentral. Lineage: Eukaryota; Viridiplantae; Streptophyta; Magnoliopsida; Lamiales; Lamiaceae.
CGCGGCCAAGGCUGUGGGGUCGCAGCUCAACCCCAACGGCCGGCCUGUUUGCUAAAGCCCACCAACCACUCCAAGUUCACCGCCGCCCCACUCGAGCCCAGCUUCCAACUCCAAACACAAGGCUCUGACGAGGGAUUCGGUUGGCAAGUAGAUGGUGCUUGGUUUCAACCAAAUUUGAUCCACCUACUCUUAUCAUUAAUCAAAUGAAUUCUACUUCUUUUCAAUUUGCUUUUCUAUAUGCUC